CCUAGAAAGCUCCAGCUGCAGAGCUGUACUUAUAUUCUUUAUUUUCUGCAGUCCAAUGGUGAAAGAGGCUGCGGAAAUCUCCACGGACGAAGAAUCAGAUGGUGUUGUUAUAUGCCCACCAGAUGAGAACACUCGUGGUUGCGAGGAAGUUGUUAGUGGCAGUGAUCAUGAUAGUUCUCCAGAGGGCCAAGUAACUUGUGUAGAACCGGCCAUAGACGGGGAAACAGGGGAAGACAAGCUUGUAAACCAAGAUUCACUGAAGUUGAUCGAUCAAGAAAUGUCUGCUCUGCCUAAGUCACCAACAAAGCCUAGUAUGUCUGGAUCAGAGAGGUCUAAGCGCACUGUUCCUCAACCAUUUGCACUUUCAACUCAAAGAAGGGCUUCUGGUGGAGGAAAUGGCGGUGUGGCUCAUCCAUCCAGUAACGGAGAAAAAUCUGGGCAAGGAAGCAGUGCCUCUCCAGCAAGCAUGAUAAAGAAGGUAUGUAGGCGAUUUAUUUAUGCUCUGUUGCACUGUAUCAUGAUGCUCCUAAUAUCAUGUGCCUCUACUCUUGAUUUUAUUAGACCACAGUUUUUAAUUUGAUUUGUGGCCCUAACUUCCAUGCAUGCUUCAUUGCUAUGGAACGUUAACUAACUAGACCAUAUAUAAGCAAAUUUGGCUAGCCAACUUAUCGGUUGAGGUUUUGCUCGCCCAUGGAUUGGCCAUCAUUGGCUAGAAAAAUGAACUAUAGUUGCCAAAAAGUUGCUCCUCAUCGAAACAAAGACCAAUAUUUUGGACAUAUUUUUUUUUUGUAUUGUACACUUUGGUCACAAUCCGAACAUACCCUACCCCAGAUCAUAUGAUCUGGUGAUGCUUGGAAGAGUGUAAUAUCUUCUGAUUGAAGAGCUCCUUUGUAUGUUGAAGUUUAUUUGUCUUUCUUUUGUUGUGGAACAUCUUAAAAAAAAUAUGAACCUGAAUAUGUUUCAUACUACAUGUUAAUCGAUGACAUGUGUCUUUUCUUUGUUCCUGACUGAUGUGUCUAUUUGGCUGAAAAUGUCAUCCUGUAAGCUUUUUGUAGAGAGUUUGUUCUAUUGACAGAACUAAUCUCGGUAUUACUGCAGAGUACUCUGGUGACACCCAAGAAGAUGUCGCAACCUGGCCAUACAUUUCAACCUCAAGAUGACGACUCCUGUUCAGUGACUUCUUCGUAUCCUUUUCUAAUUUAUAGUUUACUACACUCUACACCGCUCUAUCAUUAUGUACCUGUAAUUUUAUAUUUUGGAAGAUGUUCUUUCAAUUUUCCAUACCAAAGCUCAAGCCUGAGAUGACUGGAAAAUUACAUUGUUCUGCCAAUUUGUUUCUUACGUUUUCUGGAAGAUUUUCCAACUUGUACCAUGAACCCACAAGCUGUAUCUUCUCAGUUGAAUUGCUCUGUGAACUGAAAACAUUGCAACGUGGUGUUUCUCUCCUCGUAGCAGUUUGAAACAAUUGAUUAUGUCCUUUCCUGAGCUGCACAAAGAACCACAGCUUCGGCACGAGCUGGCAGAACUAAGACAACUGUUGCCUUUGCUCCUACAUUUGUAUGUGACGACCGUGCUGACAAGAGGAAAGAGGUGUGUGUGCAAUCUGAUUGCAUUGUGCCAAGACAAGAUGAUCAUAACCAUUAACAGCUAUUAGCCCUUCUUUUUUAAUCUGGUAGACUCACAGUAUUACUAAUUCUUCAGUUCUACACGAAAUUAGAAGAGAAGCACAAAGCUUUGGAGGCUGAGAAGAAUGAGGCUGAAACAAGGAAAAAGGUAAGAACUAAGAACAUACUUUUGUUUUGUAUCAUGGAGCAUUUGAGUUAUUUGUGCUCUGUUAAGUUCCCCUGGUAAAAGAAAAAUGUCUUGAUUUACAAGGGCUAUUUUUUGUUCUGUACUAUACUUAAACAAAAGGAAUUUUCAGCAUUACUGGCCGAUUAGAUGCUUCAUUGCAUACGUUUAUAUAAAAAGUAUUGGAAUUGUUAUAGAACUAUGAUCCCUACGAUGAAAAUGUAGUUUUGUGCGUGGGCUUUUUUAUGUGUGCCGCUCAACGGUUGUAACGGCUUUCGCCCAGUUUUCCAUAAUUAACUGAGCAAUCUGGUUUUCGCUCGGUUUUCCCUAAUUAACUGAGCAACUCUUUUCUUCUUAAUGAGUGCAGGAUAACUGCCAUUUCGAAUAAAAAAAAUGUAGUUGCGUUAGAGUAGGACUGCAUCUGUACAUGUCGGGUGUUUAUUUGUACAUUCCCACUUCGUGAUACCAGUGCAUGUGUAUCAAGCUUAUGGAAUAACAUAGUGUUCAACCCAGGUUAGACUCUUCUGAAUUCUAGCCCAUUCAUAAUGGCUUUGCUACUGUCAAUGUUCUUGACCAACGCAUAUCCUUGAACUUUUUGUUGUUCAAAUCUUUCUAUAAGACAGUUAUGUAUAUACAACGAGAAUUGUUAAAUAUUGUUACUAACAUUUCUCAUCAUUUUUCCUGUAGGAUGAGCAAGAAGCGGCUUUAAAACAACUAAGGAAGUCCUUGGUCAUCAGAGCAAAACCCAUGCCAAACUUCUACCAAGAAGGGCCCCCUCCAAAGGCUGAGCUUAAGAAGGUAAUUCCGACAUCUCUAUUUCCGCACAAAUACUAUACCAGCAGUUGCUUAUACAUAUUUCAUAAAACACUAUGUAUAUUUAAUGCAUGUGGUGCUUUCUAGGAGAAUGCUGUAUAUAUCACUGAAAUGAGCCAGCUCCUUAAUUAGUUAAUGUGCUGGGGUUUUCACCGAACAGCACAUGUUGCGCCUAAUACAAAAGCAAUCCAUUCAAUGAUAUCAUAGGAGUAAUUUGCUUCAUAAAGUUACAUCUACAAGGCCUUCCAUGUAGAGAGUAAAUAUCGAUGCAUAGUUUAUUUCUUGUAGCAUGUCAUCAGGGUAAUUC
RNAcentral lists this long non-coding RNA (2908 nucleotides) under Hordeum vulgare. RNAcentral describes it as "long non-coding RNA (HVUL_LNC014091)". Lineage: Eukaryota; Viridiplantae; Streptophyta; Magnoliopsida; Poales; Poaceae. The record is from RNAcentral.